GUGAUGAUGCUUCAGUAAACAACAUAUGGCGAGACGUGGCAAUUCUUGACCAACAAUGCGCUAUGGUGGUCAGGCAGUGUGUUUCCGUGUGUUAUGUCGCGCUGUAGGAGCAGUUCGUAGAUAGUGUCUCUGUUACCAGCUGUCCACAGAGUGCCAGAUAGACAGUAAUAACAGUGCCAGCUCAAGACAAACAACCAACAUUGCAAGAGGUAGAGACAAAGCAGAUGACACCAAGAGGAGCAUGUCAUCUUUAAAGUGUGGGGUUCACAAGCUCCAGCGAUAACAGAUGUGUGUGUCUGUCCUUACAAUUCUGAAAGUCCUGAAAGGUAUCUGAGGCUGGAACUCGAGCAGGGAGGGAUUCCAGCAACAUGGCCAGCAUGAAGCUAAAAUCCAUUUUCUUUACUGGACUUGAGCAAGGAAACCCAUCUGCGAAAAGAAAACUCUAAAAUAGUCAUUUGUGAAUUUACUGCCUGUACUCAAGUGAAAUAAAUAUAUUAUUUACA
Scylla paramamosain (green mud crab) is the source of this 503-nucleotide long non-coding RNA. RefSeq lists it as uncharacterized. The record is from RefSeq and is a predicted model, not a curated record. Lineage: Eukaryota; Metazoa; Arthropoda; Malacostraca; Decapoda; Portunidae. The transcript has 3 exons.